GCCUCUAUGGCUCAGUGGUAGAGCAUUGCACUUGUAAUGCAAAGGUCCAUCGUUCAAUCCGGUGUGGAGGCA
This 72-nucleotide transfer RNA is filed under the name Exutisphaerella laricina CBS 326.52. RNAcentral describes it as "tRNA-Thr (TGT) (tRNA-Thr-TGT-1-1)". It matches the Rfam family "tRNA". Rfam says of the family: Transfer RNA (tRNA) molecules are approximately 80 nucleotides in length. The record is from RNAcentral. Lineage: Eukaryota; Fungi; Ascomycota; Dothideomycetes; Mycosphaerellales; Mycosphaerellaceae.